This 424-nucleotide ribosomal RNA is filed under the name uncultured bacterium. RNAcentral's name for it is "bacterial SSU rRNA". It matches the Rfam family "Bacterial small subunit ribosomal RNA", at positions 355 to 776 of the family's 1533-position model. The record is from RNAcentral.
UGAGGAAUAUUGGACAAUGGGCGCAAGCCUGAUCCAGCCAUGCCGCGUGCAGGAUGACGGUCCUAUGGAUUGUAAACUGCUUUUAUACGAGAAGAAACACUCCUUCGUGAAGGAGCUUGACGGUAUCGUAAGAAUAAGGAUCGGCUAACUCCGUGCCAGCAGCCGCGGUAAUACGGAGGAUCCAAGCGUUAUCCGGAAUCAUUGGGUUUAAAGGGUCCGUAGGCGGAUUUGUAAGUCAGUGGUGAAAUCUUCCAGCUCAACUGGGAAAUGGCCAUUGAUACUGCAAGUCUUGAAUUAUUAGGAAGUAACUAGAAUAUGUAGUGUAGCGGUGAAAUGCUUAGAGAUUACAUGGAAUACCAAUUGCGAAGGCAGGUUACUACUAAUGGAUUGACGCUGAUGGACGAAAGCGUGGGUAGCGAACAGG